Molecule: long non-coding RNA, 929 nt
Organism: Arachis duranensis
Lineage: Eukaryota; Viridiplantae; Streptophyta; Magnoliopsida; Fabales; Fabaceae
Exons: 3
Source: RefSeq, a predicted model, not a curated record
ACGAUGGCUCGCUCAAUCUCCCUUCUAUCUCUCCCUCGUCCUCGUGCUCAAUCCAUCGCUACCGCCACUUUCACCCUCCACCAUCGCUUCCUCUUCAACAGAAUCAAAGGUUCCAAGCCACACACCUUGCUUCCCCAUUGUACGACGAUAGCGGAUCUCUUUUCAGAUCCCGGAUCUUCUCCGGUGACAUCUCCUCCGGCGACGACCUCCUUUGGCCACAUCUCUUCCCAUGGUAAUCUCCUCCGGUGAUGUCACCUCCAACUUCCUCUCCUUUCCAUCCUAGCUCUGCGCCUUCUUUGCCAAAAUCCUCAGCGCCUCCCUCAGCGUCUUCUUCGAUGACAUCUCUCUAUUGAAGAUCUGUAAAUCCAAGCCAUCACAAACAGAACAAGCACAACUCUCCCCUGCUUCCUCUGUUUUUCUUUGGCAGAAAAUUUAUGGGAGAAAGCCCUGGUGAGUGAAGCAUCAAUUUUCUUAUUAAUUUGUUAUUCUUUGGUUCAUUUAUGGCAACACUAACUCACACAACCUGCUCGAUGAAAUGCUUCAACUAAAUUCUGCCCUUAUCAAUGCUUUUAUGACAGAACUGGAACCUGAUUCUCCGGUUAUCCAGGUGAUAAAUAUGAUCUUCUUAAGAGGUUAUUUUGGUUAUUUAAAAGUUUACUUUAUGUUAUCAACUAAUGUUUUUUCCAUUGCAGUGUGAUUAUGAUCAUCUUCAGUUGUCAACUAGUUCAUAAUGGAGAAUAAAUUUUCCAUUGGGAUUUCCUUAUUUGUCAUGCUUAAGAAACAUGUUUAAUGUAUGAAAACUUAUUCUAUUGAUUUUCAGAGAGAACUGCGGUGAAAAGAUGGAUGAAUUUCUUAAGAGAUGCUUCUACCAUUCUGGUCAGUAUGACUCUCAGGAAAACUUUGCAGCACUGGACAAGAAGCUUAAGGAA